RNAcentral lists this ribosomal RNA (89 nucleotides) under uncultured bacterium. RNAcentral's name for it is "partial 16S ribosomal RNA". The record is from RNAcentral.
CGAUGAAGCCCUUCGGGGGUGUAAAGCUCUUUUCGGCAGGGAAGAUUAUGACGGUACCCUGCAGAAGCAGCUGCCGGCUAACUACGUGC